UAAUUGCUAUUCUUACUGGAGUGAGAUGAAAUCUUAAUUUUUGUUUGCAUUUCUCUAAUUGCUAGAGAUGAUGAACAUUCUUUUCAUGUAUGUUGAUCAACUGUGAUUUCUACUAUGAAGAAGAAGCCCAUUUAUUAUUGAUUGGGUUAUUUGGUUUUUUGGUAAUUAUUUUUUUAAGUUCUUUAUUUAUGUUGCAGAUUAGUGCUUGAAGUGAUCUUCCACCUCCCGAAUUUUCUCUGAUUCCACUUCUUACAUCAUCCUUAACCUCACAGAUCAAUUUAACUAUGUACAUUCUAAACUCCUUCUCUGACAUUUCUUCUACUGAGGUGUGACUGCAUUCUAUUAUUGCAGCAUCUUGGUUUCAUUUGAGGGGAUUUGUUCCCUUUUCAUAUUGUUUGUGUGGCUACUUAUCUAUAAGUAUGGGUCUGAGGCAGUACAGUUUCUACCCUGUAGACUUAUAUUGUUCCUGAAUGUUUCCAGUACCUUGCCAUUAAGGGGGAGAGAAAAAAAAUAACAGCAACCAAUGCAAACAAUAUACAGCCUUAAACCAAGUAGCUCCUCCUAAGACAUCUACAAUUUUGUUGUAAUAAACAGAAAUAAUAUGAUCAAUUAUUGACUACAAUAAAACAGUAAGUUUGCAAAAAGUUUUACAAUCUCAAAUGCUGGACAUAUAGAGAACAGAAAUGUUGUAGGAUGUGAUGUUUAUGAGGGAGGAGGAGAGAAAAUAGAAGUAAAAAAUUAUAGGAAGUGUGAAGAGAGAAUAGUAGAGGUUGACUGUUAGCAGAAUAAAAGAGAGAAAGAGACUUGAGGGGCAUGAAUAAGUGAGAGAAAAAUAUAUACAUAGUAUAUAUUUUAAAAAAUUAAAACCAGAAAAAAGUAAAAAUAAAAGAAUACAAAACUGAAAUAUACUAAUCCUAGUUCUCAAUAAAUUGAUGCAUGAAAAAAAAUUGGUUUUAAAAAUGGUAGAAAUGUAAGAGAAAAAAGAAAAAGAAAAGAAAAAAAGGAUUCCAAUGAAAAAUUGAACAAUUGUUUCUGUUGGAGUUCAAAAGAUUCUAGCUUCCUUUCUCUGAGGUUAGGUAGGGUUAUCUGGAGUAUGACGCUUGCUCCACCCUUGGGGGGUUAAUCCUGGAGGUUGAACUCCUACUAGAGGCAGGGUUUAGGUUUAGGUAUGCUACAAUCUCUUCACUGAAUGACAAUUGCUCUAGAGAUUUUAAAUCAGUGCACAGCCCAGCAAUUGCUGGUCCACACUAGAUACUUCUAAUAUCUGUUUGAGCAGUGGCAAGCGACAAGGCAGAUGCCCAGACACCAGAUGCAGAUCUCCUUUUGAUUCUGCUCAUGUGGUAUAAGAUUCUUCAUCUUGAAAGUAAUCAAUAAAUUCCAUAUCACCAGGUUUUUACAAACCCUAAAUGAGAUAUAAAGCUUUUAAGUUUUAGUACAUAGUAAAUUGUACCUUUUACUACUAUUUAAGCACUAAUAUAUCCCAUGAAGGACUUCAGUGUUUGACUGGAAACCCAUCCAAUGCCUUGAUCCACUGACUUCCCUGACUUCAAAAACCUCUUAUACUUAUCCUUGUGAUCAUAUUUAGAACAUGUCAUCAUCUGGAGCUAUAACACUUUAGAACUUUUAAAAUUGAAUAUCCCAAACCUACAUCAUAAUUUCUCUCCUUUCCUUUAUCUCUUCUAUAAACUCUUAUUGUGCAUUUACUUCACGUCAGAUAUAGCAAAAUGAAUUAGACAAAUUUCCAUUCUCAUGAAGCUCAGGGAACAUAUGUAGAGAUAAGAUAUUAAUAAUGAAAAACUGAGGGCUGAGGUUGUGGCUCAGCAGUAGAGCACUUGCCUAGUCUGUACGAGGGUGCUGGGUUUGAGCCUCAGCACUACACAAAAAUAAAUAAAUAAAUAGAGGUAUUGUGUCUAUCUAUUAAAAAAAGAAAAAAGAUGAAACACUGAAGUUUGAACUACAGACACAUAUUUGAGAGCCAAUUAAUAUUGCUAAGAAUUUUAUAGUCUCAUGAGAUGACAGUAGUUCCUUCCCUCCUCCCAUCUCCUCACCAGAAGUGGCCAGGUGCAGAUCCUCCAGCAGGAAGAGGAGAGAGCUUUUAUUAUCAGGUUGGCGCCCGGGCCAUGGACUAGCUUGUGCUUGGCCCUGGAUCCCUCUGCUCAGCAAGAGGCGAAGGCGCAGGUGGGGGUCAAGCAGACCACGCAAGAUACGUGCCAGGCUGGUGACUUCUGCCACACCUGGGCAAACAGCCUGCUGCCCAUGUACCUGCAAUAGAGAACUGGCAUGCUUGCAGAUGGGAACUAGCCUACCUGCUCGACUGUAUAGAAGGGCUAAAUGAACACAUCUGUCCUGUUUUGUGGGCUGGUAAGGCCCUUGGCAGCCUUCCCUCUAGACCAUAUUGGCUACUGUAACAUCAAGAUGUCGUUCUUUAGCAGACACAGAGACAUUCCCACAUUAAUGUGGUUAUCGAAUACUAGACAAAGGCACCAAAAACAUACAUUGGAGAAAAGAUAGCCUCUUCAACAAAUGUUGCUGUGAAAACUGGAAAUCCAUAUGUAGUAGAAUGAAAUUGAACUCCUAUCUCUUA
This is a non-coding RNA of Ictidomys tridecemlineatus (thirteen-lined ground squirrel), 2584 nucleotides long. The record is from RefSeq and is a predicted model, not a curated record. Lineage: Eukaryota; Metazoa; Chordata; Mammalia; Rodentia; Sciuridae.